AGGACAGUGUAUGGUGGGCAGUUUGACUGGGGCGGUCUCCUCCUAAAGAGUAACGGAGGAGUACGAAGGUGCGCUCAGACCGGUCGGAAAUCGGUCGCAGAGUAUAAAGGCAAAAGCGCGCUUGACUGCGAGACAGACACGUCGAGCAGGUACGAAAGUAGGUCUUAGUGAUCCGGUGGUUCUGUAUGGAAGGGCCAUCGCUCAACGGAUAAAAGGUACUCCGGGGAUAACAGGCUGAUACCGCCCAAGAGUUCAUAUCGACGGCGGUGUUUGGCACCUCGAUGUCGGCUCAUCACAUCCUGGGGCUGAAGCCGGUCCCAAGGGUAUGGCUGUUCGCCAUUUAAAGUGGUACGCGAGCUGGGUUUAGAACGUCGUGAGACAGUUCGGUCCCUAUCUGCCGUGGACGUUUGAGAUUUGAGAGGGGCUGCUCCUAGUACGAGAGGACCGGAGUGGACGAACCUCUGGUGUUCCGGUUGUCACGCCAGUGGCAUUGCCGGGUAGCUAUGUUCGGAAAAGAUAACCGCUGAAAGCAUCUAAGCGGGAAACUUGCCUCAAGAUGAGAUCUCACUGGGAACUUGAUUCCCCUGAAGGGCCGUCGAAGACUACGACGUUGAUAGGCUGGGUGUGUAAGCGUUGUGAGGCGUUGAGCUAACCAGUACUAAUUGCCCGUGAGGCUUGACCAUAUAACACCCAAACA
RNAcentral lists this ribosomal RNA (697 nucleotides) under Pseudomonas aeruginosa. Its description in RNAcentral is "partial 23S ribosomal RNA". It matches the Rfam family "Bacterial large subunit ribosomal RNA", at positions 2248 to 2925 of the family's 2925-position model. Lineage: Bacteria; Pseudomonadati; Pseudomonadota; Gammaproteobacteria; Pseudomonadales; Pseudomonadaceae. The record is from RNAcentral.